RNAcentral lists this ribosomal RNA (468 nucleotides) under uncultured bacterium. RNAcentral describes it as "partial 16S ribosomal RNA". It matches the Rfam family "Bacterial small subunit ribosomal RNA", at positions 28 to 507 of the family's 1533-position model. The record is from RNAcentral.
GAUGAACGCUGACAGAAUGCUUAACACAUGCAAGUCAACUUGAAUUUGGGUUUUUUAACUUAGAUUUGGGUGGCGGACGGGUGAGUAACGCGUAAAGAACUUGCCUCACAGCUAGGGACAACAUUUGGAAACGAAUGCUGAUACCUGAUAUUAUGAUUAUAAGGCAUCUUAGAAUUAUGAAAGCUAUAUGCGCUGUGAGAGAGCUUUGCGUCCCAUUAGCUAGUUGGAGAGGUAACGGCUCACCAAGGCGAUGAUGGGUAGCCGGCCUGAGAGGGUGAACGGCCACAAGGGGACUGAGACACGGCCCUUACUCCUACGGGAGGCAGCAGUGGGGAAUAUUGGACAAUGGACCAAGAGUCUGAUCCAGCAAUUCUGUGUGCACGAUGACGUUUUUCGGAAUGUAAAGUGCUUUCAGUUGGGAAGAAAAAAAUGACGGUACCAACGGAAGAAGUGACGGCUAAAUACGUG